CCUUUUUGACGAACCCGAACGUAAGAAAAGGUCGGUUGGUUCGCACUGGUGGCCAAAUGGUCCAAUUACCUCAGGGAAAAGGGCCUCUGAACCUAGAUUGGCAUCCUCUCUACCUAUAAGUAGAGAGGGUAGAGCCGGAGGCGGUGAGAACCUGCCCCGGAUGUGGGCGUGGCCCUGAGGUAGAACACGGAGCCUCCACCGCGGUGGUUUGGGGAGGCGGAACUGAGAUCUUUUCCUUGAUUAUCAUGUGACGGGUUCUGGAUUUAAUGGAGGAGAAAGCGUGGAAAAGGCCAAGGAUCCAAACUGGCGAGUUUUCUGAUCUUCGCGGCCUUCCCCGCUCUCCGGCCAGCGGCGCUGCCAGUGCACGGCCUUCAACACUCCAACAGCAGCUGUAGUCUGUCGUUCAAAACCUUGUCCUAUAUGAUCUGCAUGGGCUCUUGUCCUGUCUUCAAAGAGCAUCUCACGGGGCUCACUAGUUCGAGAUUUUACUUUAUAUCCUCCACUACAGUAAUUCAUAGCCAUGAGGACAUCUCAUCUAUAUGCAGUCCUAUGAAUCGUCUUAGUGAAUCACCAAACCUAUGGGUAGUCUCCAGGACCUCUGAUGGACACAGGAAAAAAGAAUAUGGCUGAAAAUUCUUUCUGAAGGGUGGUGGUAUUCCAAACAGGACCACUCAGAACACUUGAGAAUACGAAACGAUGAGGAGGAGGCUGCAGGACAGGAUUUUCUGGCGUUGGAGCCUGUGUCACAAAUACGAAUUCUGUGAUCACCUCUAAACCGUCUAAUAAUGAAUCAAGCACCUUUUAGAAGACCAAACCCUUGGCGAUCCCAUUUCCCCCCAUCUCCCUCCGAAGACCAGCACACCUAGGCGGGUACUCUAGACCAUAUUCUAUAAAUCUUGCAGCGCAUUAACUGGGAGAGAGAAACAAUAUAAAAAAUAAAGAGUUUCGGCCAUUCCCCUCGCUGUAACCGAAAUUACAGGCUCCAUUUCCUGUCCCCAAGGGGACUGCAAAAUCGCCUUUUGAGAACGGGACGCCUCCCGCCCCCUCCAGGCUGGCGCCCGCGGCCCCCGCGCUCCCCCUGCCCCGGCCCCGCGGGCGCGAGGAGGUGGCGGGGACCCGGGACGCCCUCCCCUCCCCCUCCCAGCUCCGGUACCCACCUCGCGGCAGCGGCUUCACGUCCCCGUUCUCCUCCCGAGCGGCCCCGCCUGCCCCGCCGAGGCCGUGCCUCCUCCUUUCCUUCUCUCGCUUCUCCUUAGGUCGCCGCGGCUUGGCGUUGGCCGAGGAGGCGGCGGCCGGCAGCAAGAGAUGGUGAGGCUGAGCGUGCAGCAGCGUAGGAGGGACCAGCAGUUUGCGCGGCACCGGCUGAGACGAGGAAGCGGAGGCUGAGGAAGGGACCGCCGAGCCAGCGGAAAAAGAGAAACUGCUCCGAGCAGAGGACGAGGAGGGGACAGCAGACAGCCCGGGAAAGCUCCAAGACGCGGGGCUGCCAUAGCUCUGAGGCGAAGGUGCCGCCAGCGGCUGCAGCUGCCUGCUGUUCCCGCCGCUGCCCCCCUCUCCGUUCAGUCUCCGUGGCGCCUUCUUCUCCUCAGUACGGACCUUCUUGGCCGACAGAGGACCCGGUGGGUCCCGGAAGGAGGGCUGCAAUUUGCCAAACGGUUCUUUCUCCGAGGCGACAGCGGCUGCGGCGGCGGCAGCAGCGCCGUCCACCGGGCUCGGCGGGUCCGCCAUUUUGCGCUCCUGUUGUAUUUACUCUCCUCCGCUCCCGGGCGCGGGGCAGGGGCGGGCCCUCAGCGAGGGGCGGGGGAGGGGUGGAGCGGCCCGGCCAUCGGCAGAGCUCUCUAUUGGACGAGCCUUGCUGAGGGAUCCCUCUGAGAACCAACCAAAGGCGUCAAUCUGGAGCCGAAGAGGCGGUAUCGCCAAGCGGACCAGUUUUGGAGGUCAAAGCUCCGCGGGGCGCGGUUAGUGGCGGAGCAAGCUCUGAGGGGAGGGUCUUUCACUAGUCGCCAGCGUGAACUCUGGUGCCCCGGGAGUGUCCGGAAUGAACCCCCAACUCCGGACCCUCAAACCUGCCCCCACCCAGGCGCGCUCAUAUGUAGUUAGACUUUUUCAUGUAUCACCUUCUCUUCCUUUUCUCCCCCCGGGGUCCUUUUGGUCCCUCCCCGUCUCUUCGCGCGCAGAAAGCCGAAUUUCGCUGAUGCUCAGUCAGAGGAGAAAAUUUUUAUGCGGAAUUCAGUCCUUCCUUCUGAAAGGCAACAGUUACUGGACGGGAGGUACUAAAAAUCAUUUGGUGUCCUGACAAGAUUUGUUACUGUUGCUAAAAUCGUCAACUCCAAUGCUUUAAGGGAGAGAACUUCCUGCAAACCCAGAAUUUUCGGAUUACUUCUAAGCUUGAGGUCAAAAUGAUCAAAUGCCAGCACAGCCUACCACGUGUAGGUGAACAGAGAUUUGCCAUGAUAGAGACAGGAACAAGGUUCUGUAUGCACCAAGGUCCUUCAUCCUACCCAGAACACUCAGUGAAAGCUUCCCAAAGGAAAUGACAUUUGAGCUGAGUUUUAGAAAAUGAUUGGGAGUUCACUGUGCGUUUACAGGAAGCAAAGAGAAUGAGGGCAUUCCAGAAAUAGGAAACAGCAUGUGCAGAGUCGUUGAACGGAGAAUGAGCCUUGCACAUGUGGGAAUCUGCAAAUAGUUCAGACAGGUUGGAAUGCCAGAUACGUUGGGGGUGACAGGAGACAAGGCAGGUAAAGUAUCAGAGGGCAGAGGGUUGGGUGUGUUAAGCCAAAGAGCUUGAUUUUAUCCUUGAGAUGGGUGAGUUAUGUGUAAGCCAGAGAGGCUGCAAGACUUAAUCUGUCAGGGUUCAGAAAGAAAAUAUUACCACUUAUAUAUUUACCUUUGCCUUAUCUUUUUAUUUUCCAAUUAAACUGGUUAUUAUGUAUGUAAUUCCUAAUGCAGUAGUGGACGUAAAUAAUUUAUGAAUAAGUAAAUACACACACGUAUUAUGGUGUGUUAUGGGUUGAAUUUUGUCCUUCCACAAUUCAUGUUGAAGUUCUAACCCCUAGUCUCUCAGAAUAUGACUUUUUUUUUUUGAAAGAUUUUAGUUAUUUAUUUAACAGAGAGGGAACACAAGCAGAGUGAAUGGGAAAGGGAGAGCAGGCUUCCUGCUGAGCAGGGAACCCAAUGCGGGGCUCCAUCCCAGGAUUCUGGGAUCAUGACCUGAACCAAAGGCAGAUGCUUAAUGACUGAGCCACGCAGGCAUCCCUCAGAAUAUGACAUUAUUUAGAAAUAGGGUCCUUGCAGAUGUAGGUAGUUAAGAUGAGAUCACACCAGAGUAGUAUGGGCCCCUAAUCCAAUACAAUUGGUGUCCUUAUAAAAUAGAGCAUAUGACAUAUGAAAAUGAAGGCAGAGAUUGGAUUAAUGCUUCUACAAAUCAAGGAAGUCCAAGAUGGCCAACGUACCCUCAGAAGCUGUGGGAGAAGCAUAAAACAGAUCUUUCUCUCACAGCCGUCUGAAGGAACCAUUCAUGCUGAUACCAUGGUCAUGGAUUCUAGCCUCCAAAAUCGUGAGAUGCUUUUCUGUUGUUAAAGCCAUCCAGUUUGUGGUACUUUGUUAUGGCAGCCUUUGACAGGCGGGGAUACUCACCACUAUACUAACGAGGAGAACCAUGGCAGCCUUUGAAAACUAACACAUGGUGCAUGGUCAGAAAGUUUGGAGACCCGAGUUACAGAAUGAGAGCCAUUGAAGAGUUGGUUUUUUGGGUUUUUUUUGUUUUUUUUUUUAAAGAUUUUUUAUGUAUUUAUUUGAGAGAGAGACAGUGAGAGAGAGCAUGAGCAAGGAGAAGGUCAGAGGGAGAAGCAGACUUCCCAUGGAGCUGGGAGCCUGAUGUGGGACUCGAUCCUGGGACUCCAGGAUCAUGACCUGAGCUGAAGGCAGUCGUCCAACCAACUGAGCCACCCAGGUGCCCCGAAGAGUUGGUUUAUGUUUAAGAGUCCACAUUACAUAUGUCCUGUCUUUAUGUAGUCUCUGUAUUUAAUAAUUUAUUUUAACUUAAAGAGAUUUCUUAGCUUCUCAGUACUUUAUUUCUUAAACCCAGUAUAGUUGGAAAACCAUCUGUUCACAUUUGUGUUUGGUGUAGUUUUUGUUAGAGGAAGAAGGAACUGGGAAAUAUUUGACCUUUAGUUCAAAACAGGGUGGUGAUAAGCAACAGUUUUAGGGAGAAAAAUUUAUGUUUAAGAACCCCAUUAGGCAGGGGCGCCUGGGUGGCUCAGUGGGUUAAGGCCUCUGCUUUCGGCUCAGGUCAUGAUCCCAGGGUCCUGGGAUCGAGCCCCGCAUCGGGCUCUCUGCUCAGCAGGGAGCCUGCUUCCUCCUCUCUCUGAAUGCCUCUCUGCCUACUUGUGAUCUCUGUCUGUCAAAUAAAUAAAUAAAAUCUUUAAAUAUAUAUAUAUAUAUAUAUAUAUAAGAACCCCAUUAGGCAGAAGUGGAGCCAAAAUCAGAAAUAGGGCCCUACCAACAGAAUUCAUAGCUGUGAAUAGGCUGAUCAUCGGUGCAGGGAGGACUGUAGCCCAUGCAUGUAUUAUUCUGGCUAUCUUAAUCUUCAAGUGCUAAAGACAAGCAGUCUUUUUGUACAAGUUACACAUUAGUUAUGUGCCUGAGUUUCCAAAGUAGUAUAACUGAGACAGUGUUCAAGGCCACACCUUAAACUCAAUGUAUGUCUUUGAAACCUGUGUGUGGGUCUGCAAAAUCCAGAAAUCAGCAGUGCAUUAAUUAGUAUAUUACUUAAUAUUAACUAAUAUAUUAAUAUAAAACCAGGUCAGUAAUAUAUUAAUUAACAUAUUAAUAAAUUAUUGUGUUUAUAAACAAAAUAUAUUUACAUAUUAAUACAAUUAACAUAUAUAAAUACUUUUGUAUACUUUUGUUAUUUUAGGUCUUUGUAGGGUAUGAAAUAUUUGAUCAUUUCUGGUCUUAUUUAUGCAAGUCAACUAAAGCAUUUUGAAGUACUAAUACUUUUCUGAAAAUUCAGAUGUAUUUUUAAUAUCUCUGUCAUCCUUUAGACAAAUAGCUGUUGGACUUUUUAAAGUAAUAGAACCCUUUCUUAAACUUCUUUGUGGAACCCCAAUAUGCUAUAACUGCAUUAGCAGUUUACCCAUCAUAGAGGACUGGCCAUUUGUAAAAGCAUACCUUAAUGUUUUAAAUCUUUUUUCUUACAUCUAGUCUGGAAGUUCUAUAUUUUGUGGAUAUAUUUUCAAUAUUCACUGUAAUUUGCUAGCAGAAUGAGAAGAAAUUUAUGUAGGAGAGAAUAAUAAAUAUGCUGCUGACCUCUGAUCAUAGAGCUUGUGCUUGGCAUAGCUUUCCAGUAGUGGAACCACAUUUAUAAGGACCCAUCCGGGGUACCUGGGUGGCUCAGUGGGUUGAAGCUUCUGCUUUCGGCUCAGGUCAUGAUCCCAGAGUCCUAGGAUCGAGCCCUGCAUCGGGCUCUCUGCUCAGUGGGGAGCCUGCUUUCCUUCCUUUCUCUCUGCUUGCCUCUCUGCCUACUUGUGAUCUCUGUCUGUCAAAUAAAUAAAUAAAAUCUUUAAAAAAAAGAAAAGAAGAAGAAUAGCCAAAAUAAUUUAUUUUUUUUUAAAGAUUUUAUUAUUUAUUUGACAGACAGAGAUCACAAGUAGGCAGAGAGAGAGAGGAGGAAGCAGGCUCCCUGCUGAGCAGGGAGCUCGAUGUGGGGCUCGAUCCCAGGACCCUGGGAUCAUGACCUGAGCUGAAGGCAAAGGCUUUAACCCACUGAGCCACCCAGGUGCCCCUAGCCAAAAUAAUUGAAAAGCAGAUCACUGCCCCCUUCUCUUCCCCCUCUCCAUUCUUAAGUCACUUACAGAACUGGUAGAAAGUUACCUACUUUGAGUUCUAGGAUACCCAUCUUCUCACUGCCUUGACUUUGAUAGGACCUGAUCCUUCCCAAUCCUGAGGCACUCCUGACCUCUGCAGAGCAGAGCGGCUGUCCUUUGGCUGUUUCUCCCUCAGCAUAUUCUGUACUAUACUGUCUCUUGCUCUCUUUCUUCAGGAGCUGUUCCUCUCUUCCAGAAAUAUAAGUUCUGUGCCAUACUCUUCAUGUAGUCUUACACCAUUUUUUAAAAAUUCCUUUAGGGGCCCCUGGGUGGCACAUUCUGUAAGGUGUCUGACUCUUGGUUUCAGCUCAGGUCAUGAUCUCAAGGUUGUGGGAUGGAGACAUGGGUUGGGCUCUGUGCCCAGUAGGGAAUCUGCUCAUACUUUUCCCUCUGCUCUGCCACACCCUCUGUGUGUGCAUGCUGUCUCUCUUAAAUAAAUAAAUAAAAUCUUUUUUAAAAAAUAAGAAAUUCUUUUAUUAUCAAUGUAUUGGGGCCUCCUCAAAGGAGAAGGGCUAAAUAUGCACUGUCAGUGAGCCAGCUUGUACCAGAAACAGUAACACAACAUGUAUAAUCAUUUGUACAAGCAUAUCACAUUUGGAAAAGAGAGAAACGUAAACAUCUAUAAUUGUACCACACUAACACAAACCCACUGAUCCAUUUUUUUAUACAUUUAUUCAUUCCUGCAAGUCACCAGAUUAUUUACUAAGUACCUAUUUUAGUAGUAAUCACCCGGCUUUCUAGGGAAUUAAGAUCUAAUAAGGGAAUUGUGAGUCGGUAGAAAUAACCAUGAAAAUACCACUAUUUUGGUUUUUUUUUUUUAAUAUUUUAUUUGAUUAUUUUGACAGAGAGAAAUCACAAAUAGGCAGAGAGGCAGGCAGAGAGAGAGGAAGGGAAGCAGGCCCCCUGCUGAGCAGAGAGGCCAACGCGGGACUCGAUCCCAGAACCCUGAGAUCAUGACCUGAGCCGAAGGCAGCGGCUUAACCCACUGAGCCACCCAGGCGCCCCUAUUUUGGUAUUUUUUAUUGGAUCCUAAUCUUAUUAUGUCUUUUUAGUACAUUGCAACUAUACGGUCUAUUCAAUCUUACAUUCUUUAUUUUACUUUUAAUUUACCUCACAGUGGUAGUGACAAGAGAGGUGCAAAACUGUUUAUUCUUGCCUGUGAAGAAUGAGAUUCUGUUAUCUAUUUUUUUAAAUAUAUUAUUUAAAAGAUUUUAUCUAUUUAUGGCAGAGAGAGAUAGCAAGAGAAGGAACACAAGCACAGGGGAGCUGGAGAGGGAGAAGUAGGCUCCCCACUGAGCAGGGAGCCCGAUAUGGAGCUCAAUAUGGGUUUCAAUCCCAGGACACCAGGAUCAAGACCCGAGCUGAAGGCAGAUACCUAACGACUGAGCCACCCAGGUGUCCCAGGAUUCUGUUAUCUUUAACCUGAGUCUGUAGUUCACAUAGCAGGCUCUGUUCCUUUUCUCCUUCACAGCGCCUAUCCCUAGCUGCACUGUUUGUCUGCCUUUCAACUGGGUCAUCAGCUGUGGGCAGACAGGUACUUCUUACUGCCCAGUAGUCUUCAGUGAAGGUGCCAGUAGAGCUCACUCUUGCCAAAUUGGGGGGUGGGGCAGAAUAGGCACCAGUCUGGGAAAAGGAUCAGCCCUGGUCUAUCUACUUCAGUUCCUUACAGAUAAGCAUGCGAACAGAUGACAGAGGUCUCAUGACUUAAGCUGUAAGACAGUGAUCCUGUGGGCAUUUCCUUGUUUUCUGACUUGAUUCUUCUUGCCUUAUUUCUCCCUCCCUCUCUUCCUUCCUUUCACAGUCUUCAUCUUUUACCUCUUCUCCUCCCAGAUUUUCACAAAAGACUGCUUGUUUUUUGUUGUUUUUAUUUUUUUUUUUCUUCCUGAAAUGCCACCUCUCCCCAUGGAAAAAAUAAAGGCCUAGUUCAUCUGAUCCUUUCCUGUGUCUUCCAGAUUUCAUAGACUCUGGGCCGCCUGGGUGGCUCAGGUGGUUAAGCGUCUGCCUUUGGCUCAGGUCAUGAUCCCAGGGUCCUGGGAUGGAGAGCCCUGCUUUGGGCGCUCUGCUCAGCAGAGAGCCUGCUUCUCCCUCUCCCUUUCCUGCUUCCCCUGCUUGCACAUGCUCUCUAUGUCAAAUAAAUGAAAGCUUAAAAACAAACAAAUUUCAUAGUGUCAGGUAUCCAUUUGAGGUUUAGAGCUUUAGCCCUUACCUGGUUUCUGCUCUCUGUGUAGUUACGAUCAUAUUUUAUUUUAUUUUAUUUUUUAAAAGGUUUUAUUUAUUUAUUUGACAGAAAGAGACAGCGAGAGAGGGAACACAGCAGGGGAGUGGGAGAGGGAGAAGCAGGCCUCCUGCCGAGCAAUGAGCCCAAUAUGGGGCUCGAUCCCAGGACCCUGAGAUCAUGACCUAAGCCAAAGGCAGACACUUAACAACUGAGCCACCCACAAUCAUAUUUUAAUAUAACUAAAUCACACCCCAGUAUUUUUUGAUUCAGUGGUUUUUAGCAUAUUCACAAAGUUGUGCGACUGCUGCCACAAUCUGAUUUCAGAACUUUUUCAUCACCCCAGAUAGAAACCAUACACCCAUCAGCAGUAACUCCUUAUUUCCCCUACUCUUCUGCCAGCCCUAGUUAACUACUCAUCUACUCUCCGUCUCUGUAGAUGUCAUUCCUACUGUUUGCAGAGAGGCCAGGUACAGAUGGGGAGAAAAGUGGGCCCUGGUUCAGAAGUGAGCUCCUACUUCUGUUCUCUGAUUCUCCACCAUCCCCACAACUUGAAGUUAAAUUUCUUGCUCCUUUGAAGAUGUUCUUCCAAAGAUUUCCACCUGAUCUCCAAAAGAUAAUCUUAUAUAAUAUAUGUAAAUAUAAAUGUAUUCCUAAAUUUAAUCUUACUUCAUAACUUUAAUCUUUUUUCCUAUGAAUGAGUCAUCUAGUGCACACACAUGCACACACACUCCCUGGCCCUGACAUUUCACAGCCUUCUUGUCUGACCAGGCAGUGAAGGACAUUGUGCCUCCAACACUGUGCCCUAAUUCUUUGAAGAACACCUAGGUUCUUCAUAGCAGGCUGCCAUAUCUCAUUCUGGCUGAUUUCAGGUGAGAUGAUCUCAAAAUUACUAGGUAACAGUAAAGAGUGGGAGCCAGUCUAAUGAACCAUGGGGAAUGACUUGGGGAAAGCACCCUUCUCUGUCAUGUGUACAACCAGAAUCCACCUGGGAGAGACAAAGAGGAGUGGCAGGUUGGAGUUUGAAGGCUCCUUAGCCCUUGCCUUUUCCAGCUAGAGUAUCUUAGCCCUUGCCUUCCCACCCCUUGGGAGUGGUCCUUUGUGAUGUCUAAGCUCCCUGGGGCCACCAUUGGCUGUGGUGAGCGCCCUGCCCUGCUGACCAAACAAAGCUGAGAGGGCGUGAACCCUCAGUGUCUCUGGAGAGGUAUAUAUACAGAGGACAGGACUCCUGGAGUAGACACCAGAGAAGCUGCAACAUGGCAAAAGUGGUAGAGAAAUCAUGGGAGUCACAAACCACAAACACCAAGCGGUGGAGGAAGAGGAAGAACCAGUCUCGGUCCAGAUCAAGAGGCGCUAGCAAGGUGCUAAAGAUCUACAAGAAGGUAAAAAGAUCAUUUCACAUGAGUUCAAGAAAAAAAUACUCUCCUAAAGUUAUAACCACUUCCAGAAGAAAGAAGAGGGCAAGAAGGGCCCACAAGUUUCAGCCGUUGCCGUAGGCUGAGAGCCAAAAGCAGCCAGGCCAGACCCAGCAGACGCUAUGGAGCAACACCACUCCAAGAUGACCAUGCAAACAACCCCUACAAAGCAAGCUUCUGAGACCUCAGACAGUCUGCAUCUAGGAUCCUGGCUGUGGGGAAAUGGCCAACUGCAGAGAGACCUACUUGGAUCCUAAUGUGGAACACAGAACACAAAUGGAGGUGAUCAAAAUAAAAUCAACAGGGUGGGAGAAGCCCCUCCAAAAAAUAAAAUUAGGCACUCUGCACAGCAAUGAGUUGUGUUGCAUUAGUGCUUGAGAUCAUUCCUCAGAAUGAGAGUGUGAAAUGACAGAGAAGCUGAGCGUCUUUGCUGUAAACCAAGUCCCUGGUCCCAUGAGAUCUACCUGAGAAGAUGUGCAUACACCUUCUGAGGGGUGGAAAAAUGUCUUUCCACCACAUUCUCUAUUUCUGGCAGACGGGUUUAACAACUCCCUUACUUGGUAGUCAACAUUCACUUUAAAUGUUGGUGAAAUUGGGAGAACACAGCAAUGUCCUUGCUCUCUCUAAGAGGCUGAAAGGCAAUGGGGAAGGGAAAGGGGGGCAAAGAGAAAGCAGAAAGCCAUGAUGUCCCCAGGAGGCUCUGACUUUGUCAGUCUUGAUGCAGAACUGAACUGCUCUGGUCACUUGGGAAUGAUUCAGUUGGAUGUUGAAGGUCCCUAGGCUUCAUUGGCUGCCUCAUUCUGUGUUAACUAGUGUUGAGUUAUAUCAAAGGACAGGAGCACCAGGUGUAGCCACCAGAAGAGGGUACUCAUGUGACCACAUCACACAGGGGCAUCACAGAUCCCCAGCUCAGUUCUCAAUCUGCCUACCUCCCCCCCCAUUAGUUGUUCAUCCCCUUUGAUGCCCAGAAUGGAGCACUCACUCUCUGUGCCCUGCGGAGGCAGAAAUGGUUGGGUUAAAACAAUGACCCUCAAAAAAUCAUGACCCCAAGAGAAUGUGGAAAAACUGUACACCUUUUUAUACAAUUUUAAGUUGACAUCCCCAAAUUUUUACCAUGAGUUUAAAUAUUUACUGAGGAUAUAAUUUCUAACAUUAUAAAUAUUGAUAUUUAAAAUAAAACUUACAUUAGACUUUUUAA
This is an RNA transcript of Mustela lutreola (European mink), 10695 nucleotides long. It is a transcript of the gene named transmembrane protein 60, with no coding region annotated. The record is from RefSeq and is a predicted model, not a curated record. Lineage: Eukaryota; Metazoa; Chordata; Mammalia; Carnivora; Mustelidae. The transcript has 7 exons.